Non-coding RNA from Streptococcus sp. DORA_10, 143 nucleotides. NCBI's taxonomy places the organism in Bacteria, Bacillati, Bacillota, Bacilli, Lactobacillales, Streptococcaceae. The record is from Rfam.
AUGCGAUGAGUCGAUAGGUAGUCUUCGGACUACUAUUGAGCAUAAGGAGGUCAUAACGCAGGAGCGGACCUUGAUGAGUUGUGUGAACCUGCUCAUCACAUGAAGAUGCCUCUUAGUCCCUGGUCUAGCGACUGGGGAUUUUU